Molecule: ribosomal RNA, 198 nt
Filed under: Citrobacter freundii
Lineage: Bacteria; Pseudomonadati; Pseudomonadota; Gammaproteobacteria; Enterobacterales; Enterobacteriaceae
Description: 16S ribosomal RNA
Rfam family: Bacterial small subunit ribosomal RNA
Source: RNAcentral
UACUCCUACGGGAGGCAGCAGUGGGGAAUAUUGCACAAUGGGCGCAAGCCUGAUGCAGCCAUGCCGCGUGUAUGAAGAAGGCCUUCGGGUUGUAAAGUACUUUCAGCGAGGAGGAAGGCGUUGUGGUUAAUAACCGCAGCGAUUGACGUUACUCGCAGAAGAAGCACCGGCUAACUCCGUGCCAGCAGCCGCGGUAAU